This 440-nucleotide ribosomal RNA is filed under the name uncultured bacterium. RNAcentral's name for it is "bacterial SSU rRNA". It matches the Rfam family "Bacterial small subunit ribosomal RNA", at positions 338 to 795 of the family's 1533-position model. The record is from RNAcentral.
CCUACCGCGCCCCUCCUUUUUUCAUAUUGCACAAUGGGCGAAAGCCUGAUGCAGCACCUCCGCGUGAGCGAUGAAGGCCUUCGGGUCGUAAAGCUCUGUCCUAAGGGAAGAAUACUGACGGUACCUUAGGAGGAAGCCCCGGCUAACUACGUGCCAGCAGCCGCGGUAAUACGUAGGGGGCUAGCGUUAUCCGGAAUUACUGGGCGUAAAGGGUGCGUAGGCGGCCCUUCAAGUCAGAGGUGAAAGGCUACGGCUCAACCGUAGUAAGCCUUUGAAACUGUAGGGCUUGAGUGUAGGAGAGGAGAGUGGAAUUCCCAGUGUAGCGGUGAAAGGCGUAGAUAUUGGGAGGAACACCAGUUGCGAAGGCGGCUCUCUGGACUGUAAAUGACGCUGAGGCACGAAAGAGUGGGGAGCGAACAGGAUUAGAUACCCGAGUAGUC